RNAcentral lists this ribosomal RNA (239 nucleotides) under uncultured bacterium. Its description in RNAcentral is "partial 16S ribosomal RNA". It matches the Rfam family "Bacterial small subunit ribosomal RNA", at positions 116 to 354 of the family's 1533-position model. The record is from RNAcentral.
CGUGAGCAAUCUGCCUUGGAGUGGGGAAUAACGGCUGGAAACAGCCGCUAAUACCGCAUGAUACAGCUGGGAGGCAUCUCCCUGGCUGUCAAAGAUUUAUCGCUCUGAGAUAAGCUCGCGUCUGAUUAGCUAGUUGGCGGGGUAACGGCCCACCAAGGCGACGAUCAGUAGCCGGACUGAGAGGUUGGCCGGCCACAUUGGGACUGAGACACGGCCCAGACUCCUACGGGAGGCAGCAG